This 426-nucleotide ribosomal RNA is filed under the name uncultured bacterium. RNAcentral's name for it is "bacterial SSU rRNA". It matches the Rfam family "Bacterial small subunit ribosomal RNA", at positions 354 to 796 of the family's 1533-position model. The record is from RNAcentral.
GUAAGGAAUCUUCCGCAAUGGGCGAAAGCCUGACGGAGCAACACCGCGUGGUUGAUGAAGCCCUUCGGGGUGUAAAGACCUUUUCUGGGGGAAGAAUUCUGACGGUACCCUAGGAAUAAGCACCGGCUAACUCCGUGCCAGCAGCCGCGGUAAUACGGAGGGUGCAAGCGUUACCCGGAAUCAUUGGGCGUAAAGCGUCCACAGGUGGUUUGUUAAGUUGGGUGUUAAAUUUUGCAGCUCAACUGCAAAAAUGUGCUCAAAACUGGCAAACUAGAGUUCUGCAGAGGUAUGUGGAAUUCUGUGUGUAGGGGUAAAAUCCGUAGAUACACAGAGGAACACCAAAAGCGAAGGCAGCAUACUAGGCAGAUACUGACACUCAAGGACGAAAGCGUGGGGAGCGAACGGGAUUAGAAACCCUGGUAGUCC